ACCGAGUGGCGCACGGGUGCGUAACGCGUAUGCAAUCUGCCCUUUUCUGGAGAAUAGCCCUUAGAAAUGAGGAUUAAUACUCCAUAGUAUAACAAUUUCGCAUGUUAUUGUUAUUAAAGCUUCGGCGGAAAAGGAUGAGCAUGCGUCCCAUUAGUUUGUUGGUGAGGUAACGGCUCACCAAGACUGCGAUGGGUAGGGGGCCUGAGAGGGUUAUCCCCCACACUGGUACUGAGACACGGACCAGACUCCUACGGGAGGCAGCAGUGAGGAAUAUUGGACAAUGGACGGAAGUCUGAACCAGCCAUGCCGCGUGCAGGAUGACGGCCCUACGGGUUGUAAACUGCUUUUAUAUAGGAAGAAACCCCUUUACGUGUAAAGGGCUGACGGUACUAUAAGAAUAAGGACCGGCUAACUCCGUGCCAGCAGCCGCGGUAAUACGGAGGGUCCAAGCGUUAUCCGGAUUUAUUGGGUUUAAAGGGUACGUAGGCGGAACUUUAAGCCAGUAGUGAAAGCCCAUCGCUUAACGAUGGAACUGCUAUUGAUACUGAAGUUCUUGAAUAUAGUUGAAGUAGGCGGAAUACGGCAUGUAGCGGUGAAAUGCAUAGAUAUGCCGUGGAACACCAAUCGCGAAGGCAGCUUACUAAGCUAUUAUUGACGCUAAGGUACGAAAGCGUGGGGAGCGAACAGGAUUAGAUACCCUGGUAGUCCACGCUGUAAACGAUGAUUACUCGUUGCAGGCGAUACACAGUCUGUGACCAAGCGAAAGUGAUAAGUAAUCCACCUGGGGAGUACGAUCGCAAGGUUGAAACUCAAAGGAAUUGACGGGGGCCCGCACAAGCGGUGGAGCAUGUGGUUUAAUUCGAUGCAACGCGAAGAACCUUACCUGCCCUUGACAUAC
RNAcentral lists this ribosomal RNA (898 nucleotides) under uncultured bacterium. RNAcentral describes it as "bacterial SSU rRNA". It matches the Rfam family "Bacterial small subunit ribosomal RNA", at positions 90 to 989 of the family's 1533-position model. The record is from RNAcentral.